RNAcentral lists this ribosomal RNA (422 nucleotides) under uncultured archaeon. RNAcentral's name for it is "partial 16S ribosomal RNA". It matches the Rfam family "Archaeal small subunit ribosomal RNA", at positions 323 to 746 of the family's 1478-position model. The record is from RNAcentral.
CUACGGGCGGCUGCAGUUAGGAAUAUUCUACAAUGCGCGAAAGCGUGAUAGAUUGAGUCAGAGUGCGUUUCAAAUUGGAAUGCUUUUGCCAAAUGUAAAAAGUUUGGCGAAUAAGGACUGGGUAAGACGAGUGCCAGCCGCCGCGGUAAUACUCGCGGUCCAAGUCGCAGCCAUUUUUAUUGGGUCUAAAACAUCCGUAGCUUGCUUCUUAAGUUCCUUGUGAAAUUUUAUAUCUUAAAUAUAGAGCGUGCAGGGAGUACUGGGAAGCUAGAGACUGGGAGACGUAAGAAGUACAUUCAAAGUAGCGGUUAAAUGUGUUAAUCUUGGAUGGACUCACAAUAGCGAAGGCAUCUUACGAGAACAGUUCUGACAGUAAGGGAUGAAGGCUAGGGGCGCAAAACGGAUUAGAUACCCGAGUAGUC